AUGGAUGUGGGAGCAUCAACUCCGUCCCUGUGGGCUUUUGAGGAGCGGGAGAAAUUGUUGGAAUUCUAUGAAAGAGUCUUGGGAGCCAGGAUGCAUGCCAGUUUCAUACGACCAAGUGGAGUGGCACAAGAUCUGCCUCUUGGCUUAUGUCGAGAUAUUGAUUCCUUCACACAACAAUUUGCUUCUCCAAGCAAAGGAUUGGGGAUUCAAUGGUGUAAUGUUAAGAGGUCGUGCGACAUGA
This is a non-coding RNA of Vicia faba (fava bean), 241 nucleotides long. The record is from the annotation of a GenBank genome assembly. Lineage: Eukaryota; Viridiplantae; Streptophyta; Magnoliopsida; Fabales; Fabaceae.